AUUGAACGCUGGCGGCAGGCCUAACACAUGCAAGUCGAGCGGAUGAAGGGAGCUUGCUCCUGGAUUCAGCGGCGGACGGGUGAGUAAUGCCUAGGAAUCUGCCUGGUAGUGGGGGAUAACGUCCGGAAACGGGCGCUAAUACCGCAUACGUCCUGAGGGAGAAAGUGGGGGAUCUUCGGACCUCACGCUAUCAGAUGAGCCUAGGUCGGAUUAGCUAGUUGGUGGGGUAAAGGCCUACCAAGGCGACGAUCCGUAACUGGUCUGAGAGGAUGAUCCGUCACACUGGAACUGAGACACGGUCCAGACUACUACGGGAGGCAGCAGUGGGGAAUAUUGGACAAUGGGCGAAAGCCUGAUCCAGUCAUGCCGCGUGUGUGAAGAAGGUCUUCGGAUUGUAAAGCACUUUAAGUUGGGAGGAAGGGCAGUAAGUUAAUACCUUGCUGUUUUGACGGUACCAACAGAAUAAGCACCGGCUAACUUCGUG
RNAcentral lists this ribosomal RNA (484 nucleotides) under uncultured bacterium. Its description in RNAcentral is "partial 16S ribosomal RNA". It matches the Rfam family "Bacterial small subunit ribosomal RNA", at positions 30 to 507 of the family's 1533-position model. The record is from RNAcentral.